AUUGAACGCUGGCGGCAUGCCUUACACAUGCAAGUCGAACGGUAACAGGUCUUCGGAUGCUGACGAGUGGCGAACGGGUGAGUAAUACAUCGGAAUGUGCCUAGCAGUGGGGGAUAACUACUCGAAAGAGUGGCUAAUACCGCAUGAGAUCUACGGAUGAAAGCAGGGGAUCGCAAGACCUUGUGCUACUAGAUCGGCCGAUGGCAGAUUAGGUAGUUGGUGGGAUAAAAGCUUACCAAGCCGACGAUCUGUAGCUGGUCUGAGAGGACGAUCAGCCACACUGGGACUGAGACACGGCCCAGACUCCUACGGGAGGCAGCAGUGGGGAAUUUUGGACAAUGGGCGAAAGCCUGAUCCAGCAAUGCCGCGUGCAGGGUGAAGGCCUUCGGGUUGUAAACUGCUUUUGUACGGAACGAAAAGCCCCGGGUUAAUACCCUGGGGUCAUGACGGUACCGUAAGAAUAAGCACCGGCUAACUACGUGCCAGCCGCCGCGGUAA
RNAcentral lists this ribosomal RNA (498 nucleotides) under uncultured bacterium. RNAcentral's name for it is "partial 16S ribosomal RNA". It matches the Rfam family "Bacterial small subunit ribosomal RNA", at positions 30 to 523 of the family's 1533-position model. The record is from RNAcentral.